This 97-nucleotide signal recognition particle RNA is filed under the name Chlorobiota bacterium. Its description in RNAcentral is "signal recognition particle sRNA small type". It matches the Rfam family "Bacterial small signal recognition particle RNA". From Rfam's summary of the family: The signal recognition particle (SRP) is a universally conserved ribonucleoprotein involved in the co-translational targeting of proteins to membranes. Archaeal SRP consists of a 7S RNA and homologues of the eukaryotic SRP19 and SRP54 proteins. Lineage: Bacteria; Pseudomonadati; Chlorobiota. The record is from RNAcentral.
UGCCGGAUGCUUGUCGGCAGGUUAAUACUCAACUCCGUCAGGUCCGGAAGGAAGCAGCGGUCGGUAUUUAAUCUGGGUGGCAAGUUUUCCGGCUUUU